GAGGUCCCGCCUGCCCAGUGACCACCCCGUUAAACGGCCGCGGUAUUAUAACCGUGCAAAGGUAGCGUAAUCAUUUGUCUUUUAAAUGAAGACCUGUAUGAAUGGCAUCACGAGGGUUUAACUGUCUCCUCCCCCCAGUCAAUGAAAUUGAUCUACCCGUGCAGAAGCGGGUAUAAGAACAUAAGACGAGAAGACCCUGUGGAGCUUUAGGCUAAAGAUUCAAACGCGUAAAGAAGCCCCACACACCGUAAAGGAACAAAAUAGGCUUUAACUCAGCACCCAAAUGAUCACAUGCCUUUGGUUGGGGCGACCACGGGGAAAAACAAAGCCCCCGUAUGGAAUGAAAUAUUUCCUCCUAAACCAAGAGACACACCUCUAAGUAACAGAAAAUCUGACCAAACAUGACCCGGAACAAACAAAUCCGAUCAAUGGACCAAGUUACCCCAGGGAUAACAGCGCAAUCCUUUCCCAGAGUCCUUAUCGACGAAAGGGUUUACGACCUCGAUGUUGGAUCAGGACAUC
This 522-nucleotide ribosomal RNA is filed under the name Pisodonophis boro. Its description in RNAcentral is "partial large subunit ribosomal RNA". It matches the Rfam family "Bacterial large subunit ribosomal RNA", at positions 1849 to 2546 of the family's 2925-position model. The record is from RNAcentral. Lineage: Eukaryota; Metazoa; Chordata; Actinopteri; Anguilliformes; Ophichthidae.